UACGUAGGGUGCAAGCGUUAUCCGGAAUUAUUGGGCGUAAAGAGCUCGUAGGCGGUUUGUCGCGUCUGCUGUGAAAACUGGAGGCUCAACCUCCAGCCUGCAGUGGGUACGGGCAAACUAGAGUGCGGUAGGGGAGAUUGGAAUUCCUGGUGUAGCGGUGGAAUGCGCAGAUAUCAGGAGGAACACCAAUGGCGAAGGCAGUGUCCUGGGAAGUACCUGACGCUCAGGUGCGAAAGCUAGGGGAGCGAACAGG
RNAcentral lists this ribosomal RNA (253 nucleotides) under uncultured bacterium. RNAcentral's name for it is "partial 16S ribosomal RNA". It matches the Rfam family "Bacterial small subunit ribosomal RNA", at positions 524 to 776 of the family's 1533-position model. The record is from RNAcentral.